RNAcentral lists this ribosomal RNA (253 nucleotides) under uncultured bacterium. Its description in RNAcentral is "partial 16S ribosomal RNA". It matches the Rfam family "Bacterial small subunit ribosomal RNA", at positions 524 to 776 of the family's 1533-position model. The record is from RNAcentral.
UACGUAGGGGGCGAGCGUUGUCCGGAAUUAUUGGGCGUAAAGAGCGUGUAGGCGGUUCGGUAAGUCUGCCGUGAAAUCCUGGGGCUCAACCCUGGGCGUGCGGUGGAUACUGCCGGGCUAGAGGGUGGUAGAGGCGAGUGGAAUUCCCGGUGUAGCGGUGAAAUGCGCAGAUAUCGGGAGGAACACCAGUAGCGAAGGCGGCUCGCUGGGCCAUUCCUGACGCUGAGGAGCGAAAGCGUGGGGAGCAAACAGG